UAAGUGCCUGUUCAGGGGCCGAACGACAGAUUUGUACCUUGUCAGCUCGGGGAUUUGAACUUGCAACCUUUCAGGUUACUAGUCCAAUAGUUUAACCACUAGGCUACCCUGCCGCCCCAACAUGACAGCCAACAUGACUAAUAAUACUGAAUAACUGGGUGAGUUCAAAGGUCGAAAUCAGAGUUUAUUAUACAACCUUUGAUCUAUUGUGUGUCAGUACAGGUGUGUGUAUCACCCAGACUAUACUAUCAGCUGAGAAACACACUGGAAGAACACUUCAAAGAGACAUCAUGUUCAGGUAAGAACCUCUUCCUGUACUUUCAGAGGAAAACCACUGCCAUAUAGUACAGAACACAGUGAAUCAGUUGUCAGUUAAUCAGGUUAAUAAUCAUCAUCAAUAGUCAGUUGAUCAUCAUGUCUCUCUUCCUCUCAGAAUUUCUGUGUUGAUCUGCAUCUCUCUACUGGUUUAUGGCAACUCAGCCAAGCCAUACAAGUCCUGGGAUAAAGUGGCUGAGUCCGCAGUCCAGGAGACUCUGAUGUCUGAAAAGGAGGUGAUGUUUGAUCUGGGGCUGAAGCAGGUGGAGGCUCCCAAAGACAUGGACAUCACUAACAAUGGCAUCCACCCUGUCAUGCCCAUCUGGAAGAACAUGAGAGGGGAAGGUGGGAAGAGAAAGAAGGUAGAAAAAGAGGUAGUCCAAGGCAGAUACUCCACAACCGAGGAGGACAUGGACCAUCUAUACCACCCAUCCAUGGAGCAGACCCAUGAUGCUGACCUGGCCAGAGCCAGAUCUCAGCCAGAGGACACCUUCGUUGGGAUGGCCAUCCAGACAGAGCCCCUAGAGGAGGAUAACACCAAGUACUACCAGGAGGCUGGGAUAGAUCUAGAUAACAUCUCUCAUCUCUUCUCAAGCCAGGUGGAUCCACGACACCCUGAACAGGACUGGGACGAACUCUACCAUCCAGAGAUGAAGAGGGGAGACGGGCUGUACCAAGUGGACGUGCCUCACCAGGGGGAGCUCUCUGCUGUAGGGGCAGAGGUCAAGGGUCAUAGUGAGCCAGAGGAAGACAGGGAUGACCUCUACCAUGGUGACCGGCCUGUACCUGUUCAGGUGAAUGGGAGUGGCCAGGACAGGCAGCAGUCUGCCGAUCGGCCCUCUCAGAGGAUGUACAGAGAACCAGAGGAGGACCUGGAUUACCUCCAUCAUCAUUAA
Molecule: long non-coding RNA, 1211 nt
Filed under: Oncorhynchus kisutch (coho salmon)
Lineage: Eukaryota; Metazoa; Chordata; Actinopteri; Salmoniformes; Salmonidae
Description: lncRNA (ENSOKIG00005029919.1)
Source: RNAcentral